UGGGGAAUAUUGCACAAUGGGGGAAACCCUGAUGCAGCGACGCCGCGUGAGUGAAGAAGUCAUUCGUGAUGUAAAGCUCUAUCAGCAGGGAAGAAAAUGACGGUACCUGACUAAGAAGCCCCGGCUAACUACGUGCCAGCAGCCGCGGUAAUACGUAGGGGGCAAGCGUUAUCCGGAUUUACUGGGUGUAAAGGGAGCGUAGACGGAGCAGCAAGUCUGAUGUGAAAGGCGGGGGCUCAACCCCGGACUGCAUGAACUGUCAAGCUAGAGUGCUGGAGGAGGUGAAAGUGGAAUUCCCUAGUGUAGCGGUGAAAUGCGUAGAUAUUAGGAGGAACACCAGUGGCGAAGGCGGCUUACUGGACAGUGACUGACGUUGAGGCUCGAAAGCGUGGGGAGCAAACAGGAUUAGAUACC
Molecule: ribosomal RNA, 414 nt
Filed under: uncultured bacterium
Lineage: Bacteria
Description: bacterial SSU rRNA
Rfam family: Bacterial small subunit ribosomal RNA
Source: RNAcentral